GACGAACGCUGGCGGCGUGCCUAAUACAUGCAAGUCGAGCGGACUGAUUAAGAGCUUGCUCUUAUGACGUUAGCGGCGGACGGGUGAGUAACACGUGGGCAACCUGCCCUGUAGAUCGGGAUAACACCGAGAAAUCGGUGCUAAUACCGGGUAAUAUCUGAGAUCACAUGAUCUUAGGUUAAAAGAUGGCUCCGGCUAUCACUACAGGAUGGGCCCGCGGCGCAUUAGCUAGUUGGUAAGGUAAUGGCUUACCAAGGCGACGAUGCGUAGCCGACCUGAGAGGGUGAUCGGCCACACUGGGACUGAGACACGGCCCAGACUCCUACGGGAGGCAGCAGUAGGGAAUCUUCCGCAAUGGACGAAAGUCUGACGGAGCAACGCCGCGUGAGUGAUGAAGGGUUUCAGCUCGUAAAGCUCUGUUGUUAGGGAAGAAACAGUACCGAACGAACUAGGUCGGUACCUUGACGGUACCUAACCAGAAAGCCACGGCUAACUACGUG
Molecule: ribosomal RNA, 500 nt
Filed under: uncultured bacterium
Lineage: Bacteria
Description: partial 16S ribosomal RNA
Rfam family: Bacterial small subunit ribosomal RNA
Source: RNAcentral